AUUUUUUUGGUUUUUUUUCUCUCCCCAGACUUAUUCUUUUUAGAGAGUAAACAAAGGGGAACUCGCAUACUGGAUCGACACCCUCGGCAUUUUUCCAACCUUUAUAAUUGAUCAUUCCA
Molecule: small RNA, 119 nt
Filed under: Arabidopsis thaliana (thale cress)
Lineage: Eukaryota; Viridiplantae; Streptophyta; Magnoliopsida; Brassicales; Brassicaceae
Description: ATSL274400
Source: RNAcentral